UUUCAAUUUCUAUUAAAAUUCUUACAUGGCCACAUGUGCUUUUUCUCAGCCUUUGGGCCUCCAGGCCUGGGCUAAUUUGCAUGUCUGGUUCAGAUAAUGUCUGAGGUCCUUACAGUCUGAAAUGGAGUCUCAAUUCUAUGAUAUAGUAAGUGAGACUACAUUCCACCUACUAAGAAUGGAUGGUUCUUUUUAUCUUAAUUACUGUGCCUCUGUCUGAUACAUAGAUGCAGGACUCAGGGCCUGAUGCAUUUCCUGCUUACCUUCUAGGCCACAAGAAAAAAACACAAUAUUCUUUAGGGAUGAACUCACCUGUUCACUUCCCCCACACUGACCCCAGAGUCUUGUUCUUUACUGCAAAACACUUCAGCCAUCUGUCAAAAGGCAAAUCCCAGGAAGUGUUAGGUUUAAAGUUUCUUGAUUGUAAUGGCAAUCCUAAAUCAAUGUGAGUCUAAGACCACAGACUGGAAAAAUCACCCUGCUUACAAAUAUGCAAAAACUGGAAGAAAUAUAUUUACAUUAAGCAAUGGACUGGGCCCAGCUUACCUUUCCCUAUCCCUCAUCAAAACAUCAAGAGAUGCUAUGAGCUUUUCAGCUACCCUCUGACAUAAAGCAAUUAUCAUUACAUAAAGAACUAAUAUAAAGGAAUUGGCUUUCCAGAACUAUGGGAUCAAUGUAGGGCCAUUCAGGCAUGUUUCAACAGAAAAUCGUGGAGCCUUAGAAAUCUUUUUCAUCAUGUUAGACAGAUCAAGUUUUUGCUCUAAUUAUACAUUUUCAGUGAGACCCUCCCAGGCUAGUGCUGCCUACACCCCUCUCCUGCUUUUCCUUCUCUUGGUAGUAUUUAUCACCUUCUAAUCUACAAUGUAGUUUACUGUUUGUUUUGAGUGUAAGCUCCACAGAGGAAGGAUGUUUGUCUAGCCCUCAUUGUAUUCUCAGCACAUAAACAUGUCUGGCACCAUAACAGACAUUCAAUAAAACUGAAUGAAUAAUGAAUGAAUGCAGAUAGAAUAUAUCAAUUAAGUCCAACAAGCUGGUGUUGAUGGGGAGAAGCAAGAACUAGUUUGGGGGUAAAACAAAGGUGAUAAAGAUACAGUCCUUCUCUUCCAAAAGAUUAUAGCCUAGUGAUGGAGACAAGUACCUAAAGAAUGCCACUAGAAGACUAGCAAGACAAGGGCAAUAAACAUAGUGUGACUCACCAGGGAGCCCUGACAUGUAGAACUUUGAAAGACAAGAAUGCAAAAAACUGAAUUGUUAGGCAGACACCGAACUAGAUCCUGCAUGGAGAGGGAAGGCAACCUCACUGUGAAUAUCUCAGCCUGGGAAGGUCAGAUCAGGGCUCUCUGCAGGGUACAGGGGGUUGAGCCGCUUAUUUAUUCUCAAGCCUGGUUAGCUAAGUGAACUGUUGUGUUUUCUUUUUCCAACCUGGAAUUCUCUUAAACCCGAGGNAGGUCUAUGCCAGGGACACAUCCAGGGUCACAUCCAGCAAAGACCUUCCCUUCCUAAAAGGAACUUGCAGGAAGAAAAUCUCCAAGCUCAUAUUUCUCUAUCCUGGGAGGCUCUUCUGGAAUCUAAGAGAGCAUUUAGUGUCAAAUUCAGCCACACUGAGCAUUGCAUAAUAGAGAAACUGUUUAGGCCAUUGUAUAUGGGAGGCUGAAUUAUCCACAAUGGCUGGCAGUGCCCUGAAUCUCCAGAACCAGGCUCAGGUCUCUUUGCUUUGGCAAAAACUGAUCUCAGGACUGCCCGAAACCAGAAACCCCAGGCAGAGCUCUUUGGUGACUCUUCUGAAAAUGAAUCACAAUAGGAUUUGUCAUCUUGGUACUCCAUAAAGCCAGGGAAUGUCAGCCUUCACUAAAGUAAAAAGUGAGUUUGUUAGAAUCAGUGUGUGAUUUUUUCUGCUGAUAAAGCAUCUGCCACCACAAGGAAGUUCUGAGAUUGUCAACUACUGUGCUGGUUGAAACAGGCACAUUUUUGCACACUGUAUAUUUGGCCUCAAGUUUCUCUUCUCAAAAGUCAGUUCUCAGAAUGUAGCCUCCUUGCACCACGUUCAGGAACUCCACUGUGCACAUUCAGGCUGUUCCUUGGAGCUAGUACACCAUACUGGAGAUCUGGAUGCCUAAGAAGCCGAUGCAGAUGGUGUCAGGCUCUGGAAGGGGAUGGUUUGUGCAGGAGUGUGAGCUGCUAGCUCCCUUGUCUACCUUUUCCACGUUGGUUGUAGUCAUAUUUCUGUUGGUGUGUCUGGUACCAGAACUGAUCACACUGCCAGGCAUCCGUGUAACAAGAAGUAGGAAAAACAAUACCCUGAACCCUCAUUUCAGCAAUGACAUUGCACUGCUUAGCAAUGGGACACAUACUAUCAUGCUAAGCAAAAUAAGCUAGAUUCAGAAAGUCAAGGGUCCAAUGUUUUCUCUCAUAUGUGGAAGAGAGAGGAAUAAGAAAGGGAGCUCACAAAAAUAGAAGGGAGACUAAUAGAGUAGAGGGAACAGGAUCAAGAGAGGGGAGGAGAAGAACACAUGAAAGGACUGGGGAACAAAAAUCUACCACAAUAUGCUAUAUCCAUGUAUGAAUAUACCACAAUGAAUCUUGAUUUUAUAUAAUCAUAAUGUAGUAAUUAAAAGAAUAAUAAUAGAAAGGAGAUCAGUAGAGAAGAGCAAGUGGAUAGUGGGAAGAGAAAAGAAGGGGAAUGAGAUUGAUCAAAUUAUGCAAUGUGCCUAUAAAAAUAUAUCACAAUAAAUCCUACCAUUCUGUAUAAUUAAAAUUCACCAAUUAAAAAAACAAUGGGAUAGAUUCUAAUAAAUGCAUGGUUAGGUGAUUUCAUCCUGUAAGAACAUCACAGAGUAUACUUAGACAGACUAAGGGAACUGUGACAUCACUAGGCAAUACAACCUAAUGGGACCAUUUUCUUGUAUGCCAUCUGCUGUUGACAGAAAAAUCAUUAUGUGGUAUAUGACUGUAUAGGAAAUGAAAUGCAGGCCACUUAAUCAGUGGCAUCCAAUCCUUGACUUCCCUGUAGGGUCAAACUUUUAGUCUCUACCCCAAAUAUGUGGAUGGUUGUCCAACACACUCAGAGGGCACACAGGGUUGACAUAGUCUAUGUUCCUUAUCACUCCAAACAUAAAUCACCUGAAGACUUAGGGGGGUAGGAAGAAGUCAAAGUAGGAAUCCUGGAUUCUCUUUAGCUAAUAAACAAUGAAAGGAAGGGUGUACAUUUAGCAAGGAGAAAAUAUUGGCCCACUUUUCUCAUUCAUUCAACCAAUAGUGUAUGCUUACUGUAUGAGUCAGAGAACACAGCCUAGCUCCCUGCCCUUGGGGACCUGACUUUCAGGUGGGGAAUACAAACAACAGAAAGCUAACAUGAAUUGAUUAUUGAUUCAGUUAGGCUAUAACUGGAAAUAUUAGAAAAGCAGAGUAAAAAGGAGAGAGGAAGGGGAAAGAUUUGGCAUUUGGGAGGCUGGCCAACAUGUUUCUGAGUGUGAAUAUUUCUUUAGAUAUAUAAUAAGGGUGCAAAUCCUAAUACUGAUUGCUAACUUCUAGGAGGUCAACUCUGUGCUAGGCACUGUGUGGAGUGUUUACUUGGAUAUCUCAUUUUGUUUCAUGGCUGUGUCAGUUCUUCAAAUCUCUAAGGCAGGAUGCCAGACCUUAGGUCUUGGCCUCAGCCUUCUCCAUCUUCAUACUUUUGUCUUUGAAGCAGGAAUUGCUUUCAAAACAUUGAUUUUAAUUUCAGUCUUCCAUUGAGUGGGUGUCCCCAAGAACUCUAGCACUUACAGAAUACAGUGGUUAAAUCCUAAAUAAAUGGGCUCUGGCUGUCCUUUGAAGAUUUAGGUAGAGUGGUAGAAUUUUCCAUGGAAAUGGAGGGGAAUGAAAAAGCAAAAGGGAGGGAGCCCUGGGAUCUCUGUUGUUUUGACUCCACAGACCACUCCACUUGUUGGUUGGCUGAAGAGGUGCUGACGACAUGGGCUGUAGCUGUUUAUUGCUCUAUUAACUUCACAGUGAGAACAAGUUCAGGCUGAUUGCUGGGUGGCCUCCCUGUAUAUGUCACUUCCUUUUUUUUCCCUUUUUUAACUUUUGGGAGGACUGUAUGGUUUGUUGGGAUUUCUAGGCUUUUGCUGUGAGAAAGGUCUGCCAGAAGGUCUGGCAUCCCUCCUCAAGACUGAGACAUGGCAGAAAAGAUGGGACUGCCAGGCCACUUCCCUGGUUUCGAACUUUGAUUGGUGACUUAGAGAAGAACCCAUUGACCAUCUACCCACUGUUGGUGAGAGGGAAUUCAUUCCUACAAUUCUGGAACUUUCCAGGCCUGCUCUGUCCCUGGAGCUAGAUAAAAGAAUAGGAAGAAAAUCUAAUAAGAAGUCAAUAGCAACUGUACCCAUGAUGGGCCAUAAUUUGGACUCAAAAAAUAUAGUUCUGAGUGGUUUUAGCAUAGCUUUCAGCCAGGAUUGAAGCCUUAAGUGAUUUAGUAGAAAAAAUUUGAAACAGAGAUUUUUAUCAGUGCAGUAAGUGAGAACACAAGUCAGGACUUCAGAUGACACAUAUAGAUUCCUUGAACUUAGUGGGAUUUUCUUUCUCUCUUUCUUUUUCUUUAUAAUUUUUUCAUUUGUUCCAAUUAGUUACACAUGACAGUAGAAUGCAUUUAUGCACUUUGAUAGAUCAUACAUAAAUGGGGUAUCAUUUUUCAUUUUUCUGAUUAUACAUGUUGUAGAACCACAUCAGUCAUGCAGUCAUAUAUGUACAUAAGGUAAUAACGUCUGUUUCAUUCUAUUAUCUUUCUUAUCCCCAUAUCUCCUCUCCUCCCUUCACUCCCCUCUACCUAGUCUAAAGUAACUCUAUUCUUCCCUAGCACCCCGCCCCCCUUAUUGUGAAUUAACAUCUGCAUAUCAGAGAAAACAUUAGGCCUUUGGAUUUUUGGGAUUGGCUUAUUUUGCUUAGCAUGAUAUUCUCAAACUCCAUCCAUUUACCAGCAAAUGCCAUAACUUCAUUCUUCUUUAAAGCUGAGUAAUAUUCCAUUGAAUAUAUGUACCACAUUUUCUUUAUACAUUCAUCUAUUGAAGGGCACCUAGAUUGAUUCCAUAGUUUAGCUAUUUUGAAUUGAAUUGUUAUAAACAUUGAUGAGGCCACAUCACUGUAGUAUGCUCAACACCAAAAAAAUAACCCAGUGAAUAAAUGGGCUAAGGAACUGAACAGACGCUUCUCAGAAGAAAAAAAAUACUAUCAACAAAUAUAAGAAAAAAUGUUCAACAUCUCUAGCAAUUAGAGAAAUACAAAUCAAAACCACUCUAAGAUUUCAUCUCACUCCAGUCAGAAUGACGAUCAUCAAGAAUACAGGCAACAAUAACUGUUGGUGAGAAUGUGGGGGAAAAGGAACACUUAUUGCUGGUGGGACUACAAAUUGAUGCAACCACUAUGGAAACCAGUAUGCAGAUUUCUCAGAAAACUUGGAAUGGAAUCACCAUUUGACCCAGCUAUCUGACUCCUCAGUUCAUACCCAAAGAAUUUCUUUCUUUUUCUUGAAUUUGUCACUUUCAAUUUACUUUCUAUAGUGUUCUUACAAAAUGCCCUUCCCUUAUGCUCCCAGAUGCAUCCUACACACUACAUGAGGCUGUUCUCCAUUGCACUCUGAUUCCCAGGUACCACUGUAUACCUGAACCCUUUCCCCCUUUGACUUCUCCUGUCUGAAUUACCAAGUUUACAAAGCUUACUUAGCUUCCUCAACAUGGCCUUGACUGACCCUUUCUCCUUGCUCUCUCCUGUCCCUCCACAUCCCUCCUCUUUGGUCAUGCACUUGACAUCACACCACCCACACCUGCAAAUUCCUGCUGCUGCUUUGCUCACACUGCCCUCUCCAGUGAGUCCCCACUCAAGUCCACCAUCCCUGUGAAGGUAUCUUUGCUCCCAGUUCUACUUGCCUCUCCCUCCUUAACCUCCAGUAACCCUUGAAAUCUCCACCAUGCCUUUAGCAUGGAACCACAUUUCUUCACUAUCUUGAUGAUCAUCUCAGAUCUAAGUGCAAGGCCAGGAAAUUUGUUUCAUUAUUCUGUCACAUCUACUUUGAGGCUGAGCAUAAUACAGUGCAGAAGUUCCUCCCAAAUAAAUGACUGGAGGCUAGCCUCCUCCCUUUCCCCACCCAAGGACAAAUCUUGGAUGACUCUCACCUUCCCCUUUGUUUAUCCCACCACUGACAGACCCCUGCAGAGCCCUUCAGGAAAUGCCCGUAGAAACUUCAUCCUCACUCCAAGCUCAUAACUAGAUGGCUUUCCAUUUUCUUGGUUUGUUUUUAAACAAGAAGAAUCUGUUUUCAGGAGGAAUCACAAAAGAGAUUUUAAAAAGUCAGAAAAAAAUAAAGACAGAUGACUUAAAGGAGUUAAAUUUUGUCUCUUUGUCCCCUUCCCUGGCCUUCCUCUGCAUCCCCCUCCCCCUCACUCUCUGUUUUGCUUUUCAUGCCAAUUGCUAAAGACUGUAAUUUAAAAACUGAACUGACUUUUCCAGAGCCAUGAAGAAUGUGCAUCUGCACGUGGAUUUUUCCACAAGAAAAUUGUCCCUGUCUUUUGGUUCUCCUUAGCCAGUAACAGUGAGAACAGGCAAUCGGAUGCAUCCAUCCAUAUUCCCAGUUCUUAUUCUAAUUUGUUGGAGAGGCUCAGAAGGGGUCAAAAGGGAUGGUUUGUGUUUCACCCUGUCAGACUGCUGUUUGAUGAGGUUUGUGCUCCAUUUGUUCAGAUGGUUUUUAUGGUUUCUUUGUUGUUCGUGGAAAGACUUUGAAAGUCAUAAUUCUGUAUCCUUAAGCCCUCCUGCUAUUCCUGCUCCAAGUCUCAAUGGGACUCACACCACGAGAAAGGAAAUGACGAAAGUAUCCAGCCAGAUAGUUAGGCAAUUUUUGAGCAAAGUUCUGUAGAUGUUUGGACUCUUUGAAAAAAGAUUGGGGAACACAAAAGUUCAGGUUCCAUGGAAUUUUCUCCAGUAUAUCCCAGAAGCAAGCUUCUAGUCAUUUCCAAGCAGGAACCACAAUUCAGACCUUUUCCCUUUCUCUAUGGUCAUCAAACCCAGCCCCCUCUACUACCAGCAGAAAAGUCUGAGAGACCUAAGACAGCCUGGAAUAGGCUCACACUCUAAGAAUCCUCUGACAACAUCAGUGUGCUGAAAUAAGAGGCUGGUGGUGGCCUCCCAGGGAUGUCAAAGGCUUAGACUUUGAGAUAUUCAGCCAUGGAACUUUUCAUCUGGACAUUCCCCAUCUCUUCAGAGUUGCUCAAGGGACUUUGCUAUACAACUAUGGACACGUUUUCUUUCUAACCUCUUGUUAAUUUAUAUUUGUAGAAAACUGUAUAAGGUGCUUUACAUACGUAAUCUCAUUUGGUCAUUAGUACAACCCCAUAAGGUAAAAUUGUAUUUUCAUAUUAAAGACAGUUAAGGCUCAGAGCAGUCUUAUGAUUCAUUAAUCACCAACAGAUAAGGCAGAGAUGGAACUUCAACUGUUCCUCCAACUUCAAAUUUAGGGUUGUCCAUACAACUUCAGCUUCCGGAUAAGACUGAGACCUUCUCAAAAUUAGUAUUCAUGUUUCUUCCACCACCCCACCCCCAAACCCAGGGGAAAAGUACACUUCAGGAAUUUAGUGAUGUUUAAAAAGUUAUUGCUGAACUAAAUUUAAUUUCUUCUGAUCACUAAGAGAUAAUCUCCAUGCAACCUUUUUGCAAAGCAAGCAAAGCUAACAUAUCCCUAUUUAUUGUUUUUCAUUAGAUCCUUCUUAUGACUCAGUCAGGAGAGGAGGAUGGGGCAAUAACAUGAAUUCUGGCCUCAACAAAAGUAAGUAAAUGUCAUAGCAUUCUUUGGGAGGAAAGCGUUUUUCUGAGGAUAGGGGUGGAGAAUAGGACCAUGAGAUAAAGAAUAGGAGCAAGCACCAUGCUUUAUGAGUAGAUAUCAACAUUAGGAGCUGGGUAUAGCUCAAUGGUGGAGCACAUGCUUAGCACAUACCAGGCCCAGGGUUCAAUCUCCAGCACUAAAAGAAAAAAUAUAUUAAUUUUCAACUUAGAUCCUGUCCAUGAUACCCACUCCCUGAAAGAUUGUAUGGGAUUUUUUUUUUGUUUAAAUCUUUGAGAUUUAUUUCAUUGCACUUGUUUUUAGAAUUUCUGGAGUUUGAAAGGUUUCUUGGGACAACUUUCUGUAGGAAUGAAAGGUCACUGGGUUUGGUUGGAUUCUGUAAGUUAUAUCAGGAUAAUGAACCUCUAGACUUUGUUCCUCCAGUUGAUGAGGUUUAGUCAAACCAAUGUUUCUAUCCUUAUUUUGUGAAUGACUGAGAUGCAAGAUAACCUGAUGAGAAGAUGGUAGAGGUCAGAGUCAUCAAUUUGUCCACCAGCUGGUGAGGAUAUGACAGUUAACCCAAUACUUCCCAUUAAGGGAGUUAGGAAAGAGAAUGAUUCAUGAGUUCAGAACCAAAGUAUGUCAAUCCUGUUGUCUUAGGAAGUAAAAUAUCAAGCCAAUGAAUUAAAGACAAUUCUUUUGAGAAAGCACUUACGAUUCCAAAUGAAUGCCUAAGCAAUAACUAAGAUCCCUUUUGGCUUUAUGUAUUCAUUAUUUGCUUACUCUGCACCUAGCACUUGGCUCCUUGGGACUCACAAAGAUGAAUCAGACAGGGCAGGGCAGAAAUCAUACACUCCCAUUUUUUCAUCUGGAUGAUAUCCAGGAAGACUCUGUGGACCUGCUACCAUUUAAGUUAGCUCUGGAAGGAGAUGCAGGGUUUGCACCUGGGGAGAUGAGGUAGAAAGGCACUUCAGUAGACAAGGAUACAGGAGGAAGGCAUUGGAGUUGGUAUAUCUGGUUAGAACCCUGGGUUCCUGGAGUUCAGUGAAUGUGGUAGAAAAGAAGCCUGGAAAGGUAAGAAUGGGAUUGUGAAUGAUGCUAUGAAGAUGGACUUACUUCUCAGGCAACCAGGAGUCACUAAGGUUUCUAAACAGUAAAGUAGAUGAUAGGUCUGAGGGAAGAGUGAAGGGUGGUAAGGAUGCCACUCAGGUUAAAACAGAGAUCACACAAGAAGCAACAGAGAUCCAAAAUGGAGAAGCAAGUGUAGGAAUGGGGUGGGCGUGGGUCAGAACUAUCAAAACUUACAAAGCAUGGAAUCAUGGGAUGCGGAUGACCUUAGCUCAGAUAUCAUCUUCUCGUUGAAGACCUUUCUAAAUGUCCUAUUUAAAAAUUAACUCUGUAGCCCCAGUACCAACAGACACACUAACCUAUUGGUUUAAAAUUUGGGGUACCAGGGAUUGAACCCAGGGGCACCAAAAACUGAGCAACAUCCCAGCCCUUUUUUUAUUUUAAUUUUUUUGAAACAAGGUCUUGCUAAAUUUAUCAGGGCCUUGCUAAGUUGCCAAGGCUGGCCCUGCGAUCCUCCUUCCUCAGUCUCUGGAGUUGCUAGGAUUUGGGCAUGGUGGCACAUGCCUAUAAUCCCAUGCCCAGCUACUUCUUAUUUAUUUAUUUGUUUAUUUAUUUGUUUGUUUGUUUGUUUCCUUAAUUUUUUUUGUCUCCCCUGUUAAAAUGUAAGCUCUACAGCAACUGCUUGUUCACUGCUGAAUCUCCUGCACAGAGAACAGGGCCAGCACAUAGUGAUCCUUGAUAAAUAUUUAUAAAAUGAAAUGAAUAUGAGUCAAUGGAGACUGAGUGAAUGGAAGCACAGGCAUCCGCCUUCUGGCUUCUGAUGUUUCUUUCCCUCAUGGAGAAUGUCUCACCAUGUUUUCUCUCCUCUGCUCAGGUCCUCCCCUUGCAGGGGCACAAACGAUGAGUAAGAACACAGAACAGCGGCCCCAGCCAGGUACUUGACUUAGAUGUAUACUCUCUCCUUUGCUUCUUAUGAAUUCCACGUGGUCCACUUCUGGAUGGAGGAUUUAGAAAAUAUGCAGUUGGACCUCCAUACCUGUGGGCUCUGCAUCCAGGGAUUCAAUCAACCUCAAAAUGAAAAAUGGUCAAAAAAAACAAAAAAAAAGGCUGUAGAUGUGCUGACUUUUUUCUUGUCAUUAUCCCCUAAAUAAUAGAGUAUAACAGCCAUUUAUGUAUCAUCUACAUUGUACUAGGUAUUAUAGUAAUCUAGAGAUGAUUUAAAAUAUAUGGGACGAUUAUGUAGGUCAUAUGCAAAUACUACAAUACAUUUCAUUGGGGGCUUGAGAAACCAUGGAUUUUGGUAUCUUUGAUGCAGGGGAAUAGGCAUGGCAGCUGGAACCAAUCCCCAAUCUAUGUGGAGAGAUAACUACUAUGUAUGUUAUGUCUGUCUUCUUUCCAAAAGAGUCUAUAUUUGAUUCCUUAUAAUAUAUCUGUGAAUUAAGUAAUAAGUAUUAAAAUCAGACAGACUUGUUAAAUAAUAUAGGUGAAAGGAACUUAAAGAUUGAAGUUCCAGGGCCCAGAAAGGUAAGUAAUUUGCUAAAAACUACACAGCUGGUGUAUGAAAGAACUUGAGUUUCACCCAGCAUCCUACAUUCUUGUCUGAGCCUUUUAUGCUUCACCAAACCAUACUUUCCAAAAAUAUCCUCAUCCUUUGAUGGAUCUAUUUAGCUUAAGACAGAAGACACUUUUAAACCAUGGUCUUAAAGACGUUUAGUAUUGGAAUGGAACUUAGAGACUCAAGACUAUUGACACCUUCUAUAAUGUUUUGGUCCUACACUUAACUCACCUUUAAUUCAAUACUUACAGAAGAGCAGGGAGUUGACUACUUAGUUCAGCUCAAUUCCACUCUCUGAGCCAAAGUCCUCCCAAUACCUUCCUCUUCAAAUUCCUUGUUUGCCCUCUGAAGAAAAGCCCUAUAUGAAAGUCCUUCAUGGAUCUAAAGUCAGCUGUUGUACCCAAGCCCAGACCCCAGCUUACCCUGUAUUUUUUACAUGACACAGCUGCUAUUAAGUCUGAACCAGCCAUCUCUUUUGAGAUGAGCUAACAUCAUUCUCCAUCUCUACCCAAGACAGAACAAGAGAAAAUUGCCNCAGUUAACCCAAUACUUCCCAUUAAGGGAGUUAGGAAAGAGAAUGAUUCAUGAGUUCAGAACCAAAGUAUGUCAAUCCUGUUGUCUUAGGAAGUAAAAUAUCAAGCCAAUGAAUUAAAGACAAUUCUUUUGAGAAAGCACUUACGAUUCCAAAUGAAUGCCUAAGCAAUAACUAAGAUCCCUUUUGGCUUUAUGUAUUCAUUAUUUGCUUACUCUGCACCUAGCACUUGGCUCCUUGGGACUCACAAAGAUGAAUCAGACAGGGCAGGGCAGAAAUCAUACACUCCCAUUUUUUCAUCUGGAUGAUAUCCAGGAAGACUCUGUGGACCUGCUACCAUUUAAGUUAGCUCUGGAAGGAGAUGCAGGGUUUGCACCUGGGGAGAUGAGGUAGAAAGGCACUUCAGUAGACAAGGAUACAGGAGGAAGGCAUUGGAGUUGGUAUAUCUGGUUAGAACCCUGGGUUCCUGGAGUUCAGUGAAUGUGGUAGAAAAGAAGCCUGGAAAGGUAAGAAUGGGAUUGUGAAUGAUGCUAUGAAGAUGGACUUACUUCUCAGGCAACCAGGAGUCACUAAGGUUUCUAAACAGUAAAGUAGAUGAUAGGUCUGAGGGAAGAGUGAAGGGUGGUAAGGAUGCCACUCAGGUUAAAACAGAGAUCACACAAGAAGCAACAGAGAUCCAAAAUGGAGAAGCAAGUGUAGGAAUGGGGUGGGCGUGGGUCAGAACUAUCAAAACUUACAAAGCAUGGAAUCAUGGGAUGCGGAUGACCUUAGCUCAGAUAUCAUCUUCUCGUUGAAGACCUUUCUAAAUGUCCUAUUUAAAAAUUAACUCUGUAGCCCCAGUACCAACAGACACACUAACCUAUUGGUUUAAAAUUUGGGGUACCAGGGAUUGAACCCAGGGGCACCAAAAACUGAGCAACAUCCCAGCCCUUUUUUUAUUUUAAUUUUUUUGAAACAAGGUCUUGCUAAAUUUAUCAGGGCCUUGCUAAGUUGCCAAGGCUGGCCCUGCGAUCCUCCUUCCUCAGUCUCUGGAGUUGCUAGGAUUUGGGCAUGGUGGCACAUGCCUAUAAUCCCAUGCCCAGCUACUUCUUAUUUAUUUAUUUGUUUGUUUGUUUCCUUAAUUUUUUUUGUCUCCCCUGUUAAAAUGUAAGCUCUACAGCAACUGCUUGUUCACUGCUGAAUCUCCUGCACAGAGAACAGGGCCAGCACAUAGUGAUCCUUGAUAAAUAUUUAUAAAAUGAAAUGAAUAUGAGUCAAUGGAGACUGAGUGAAUGGAAGCACAGGCAUCCGCCUUCUGGCUUCUGAUGUUUCUUUCCCUCAUGGAGAAUGUCUCACCAUGUUUUCUCUCCUCUGCUCAGGUCCUCCCCUUGCAGGGGCACAAACGAUGAGUAAGAACACAGAACAGCGGCCCCAGCCAGGUACUUGACUUAGAUGUAUACUCUCUCCUUUGCUUCUUAUGAAUUCCACGUGGUCCACUUCUGGAUGGAGGAUUUAGAAAAUAUGCAGUUGGACCUCCAUACCUGUGGGCUCUGCAUCCAGGGAUUCAAUCAACCUCAAAAUGAAAAAUGGUCAAAAAAAACAAAAAAAAAGGCUGUAGAUGUGCUGACUUUUUUCUUGUCAUUAUCCCCUAAAUAAUAGAGUAUAACAGCCAU
Molecule: long non-coding RNA, 12584 nt
Filed under: Marmota monax (woodchuck)
Lineage: Eukaryota; Metazoa; Chordata; Mammalia; Rodentia; Sciuridae
Source: RNAcentral